CCCCUCAUCUUGUCGGUGAGACUAGUAGGUAGAGAUUCCUGUGUGAAUAACAGGGUACAGGUCAGAAACUGUGAGUACAAAAACAAAGAUCGCCAUAAAAUGAAGGUGCGAAUUACUGUCGGGCUUGUCCUUGUAGUUUUAGCUCUGUUUGCCAUGGCAACGGUUACCAACGGCGCUCCACAGGCCGCGGUAAGAGCCAAACGUGGCACUUGCUUCUGGCGAUGUGGCUACUGGGGUCACUUCCUGAUCUGCCCAUGGCGGUACGUGGUCCGAGGAGCGUGUGGCUCGGGGAGGGACGCGGAUUGUUCUCACCACUACUGCGGCAAAAAUACCUGGCACGCCAUCUAUUGUUGUCCGCAAUAAAUUCGACUGCCAGAAAUGCGAGAAAUAUCCGAAAUAUUCAAACAAAUGGAUAAGAAAUUUUUAACUAACUGUGCAAAUUUAUGAAAUGAUGUGUUUUUCUAGUUUCGACUUAUUUGGAAAAUGUUACAGUUUUGGCUUACUUCCAAUUUUCAGUUUGAAUAAUAUCAAAGUUUGAAAGCAG
Molecule: long non-coding RNA, 544 nt
Organism: Lingula anatina
Lineage: Eukaryota; Metazoa; Brachiopoda; Lingulata; Lingulida; Lingulidae
Source: RefSeq, a predicted model, not a curated record